This 456-nucleotide ribosomal RNA is filed under the name uncultured bacterium. RNAcentral describes it as "bacterial SSU rRNA". It matches the Rfam family "Bacterial small subunit ribosomal RNA", at positions 9 to 483 of the family's 1533-position model. The record is from RNAcentral.
GAGUUUGAUCGUGGCUCAGGACGAACGCUGGCGGCGUGCUUAACACAUGCAAGUCGAACGGGCAUCUUCGGGUGUUAGUGGCGAACGGGUGAGUAACACGUGGGGCAACCUGCCCCUAGCUCUGGGAUAACUCCGGGAAACCGGGGCUAAUACUGGAUAUGACUGGCCUGCGCAUGUGGGUUGGUGGAAAGUUUUUCGGCUAGGGAUGGGCCCGCGGCCUAUCAGCUUGUUGGUGGGGUGAUGGCCUACCAAGGCGACGACGGGUAGCCGGCCUGAGAGGGCGACCGGCCACACUGGGACUGAGACACGGCCCAGACUCCUACGGGAGGCAGCAGUGGGGAAUAUUGCGCAAUGGGCGGAAGCCUGACGCAGCGACGCCGCGUGGGGGAUGACGGCCUCGGUUGGUAACCGUACUUUCUACGCAGGGACGGAAGACGUAAGUAGACGGUACCGUCG